CGGUGGAAGAGGAAGCAGCGGUGGAGGAGGAGGAUGAGGUAGCCAACACUGUUUUAAAAUAUCUAUCUAUAUAUAUAUAUAUAUAUAUAUAUAUAUAUUUUACUUGGGGUAGCCCCCAAAAUAUUGGGACAUAUGAAAAAAUACAACUCUGUUCCGCAGAGUAGCUGUUGACAUUAUAGUUGUGCAGGAACUUUGUUGAUUCUAGAGAACCUCGGGCAAAUCGCACAUCCCCGUGGCGGCGACUUUGCAUGCGGAUGUCCUCCAUAUCAACUUUCAAAGCCAGUUUCUGCGCCUACCAUGGGGACCACGGGUGAUGGGGAUCAGGGUUCCAUUCCGUAGAGGGACCCUGAGAAACGGCUACCACAUGCAAGAAAGGCAGCAGGCGCGCAAAUGAAGGUAGUGACGACAAAUAACAAGACAGGACUCUUUAGAGGCCCUGUAAUUGUAAUGAGUCCACUUGAAAUCCUUUAACUCUGAUCAAUUGGAGUGAAGUCUAGU
This 498-nucleotide ribosomal RNA is filed under the name Pelobates cultripes (western spadefoot toad). It matches the Rfam family "Eukaryotic small subunit ribosomal RNA", at positions 119 to 565 of the family's 1831-position model. The record is from RNAcentral. Lineage: Eukaryota; Metazoa; Chordata; Amphibia; Anura; Pelobatidae.